Molecule: long non-coding RNA, 506 nt
Filed under: Physcomitrium patens
Lineage: Eukaryota; Viridiplantae; Streptophyta; Bryopsida; Funariales; Funariaceae
Description: long non-coding RNA (PPAT_LNC001338)
Source: RNAcentral
UUAGAUUAUAGGCCCAUUCACACUUUGUUGUACCAUUCAAGUAAGGUAAUAUCAUUCUCUUGUGGUUGUACUUCUAUAGAAUAGAUCUUAUGGUAUUUGUUGAUGUUAGGAUUUCUAAGAUUGAAACUUGUAUUUUAUGCAUGAAGAAGUAUUAACUUUGACCUUAUAGAUCUCUAAUACUACUUUUUUGAUUCUUAUGUGCAAAGAUUGAGAGUUUAAGAUGUCAUAGAAAGAUCUUGAUAGUGUCUUUUAUUUUGCUGACGUUCUUUCACUUACCUUGUAUGUAUAGUAAAAUAGCUAAUUCCAAGGAGUGAAGAUUUGUGAUAAGUAAGGUUUAUUGGAGUAUACAUAGUUGUUCGAAACUUCAAAGCUUAAAUUAAGAGUGUUUUGAGUGAAAAAAACACUCAUUUGUUUACAAAAAGGCAUUCUGAGGUUUUAAUAGUUUAAAAUUAUUUUGGUGAUUUCAAAUUCAUAGUGACUCUUUUUCUUGAUAUUUUUAAAUAGAG